RNAcentral lists this ribosomal RNA (465 nucleotides) under uncultured bacterium. Its description in RNAcentral is "partial 16S ribosomal RNA". It matches the Rfam family "Bacterial small subunit ribosomal RNA", at positions 28 to 507 of the family's 1533-position model. The record is from RNAcentral.
GACGAACGCUGGCGGCGUGCUUAACACAUGCAAGUCGAACGGAAAGGCCCUGCUUGCAGGGUACUCGAGUGGCGAACGGGUGAGUAACACGUGGGUGAUCUGCCCUGCACUUCGGGAUAAGCCUGGGAAACUGGGUCUAAUACCGGAUAGGAGCCAUUUUUAGUGUGAUGGUUGGAAAGUUUUUUCGGUGUAGGAUGAGCUCGCGGCCUAUCAGCUUGUUGGUGGGGUAAUGGCCUACCAAGGCGGCGACGGGUAGCCGGCCUGAGAGGGUGGCCGGCCACAUUGGGACUGAGAUACGGCCCAGACUCCUACGGGAGGCAGCAGUGGGGAAUAUUGCACAAUGGGCGCAAGCCUGAUGCAGCGACGCCGCGGGGGGGAUGACGGCCUUCGGGUUGGAAACUCCUUUCGCUAGGGACGAAGCUUUUUGUGACGGUACCUAGAGAAGAAGCACCGGCUAACUACGUG